RNAcentral lists this ribosomal RNA (587 nucleotides) under uncultured bacterium. RNAcentral's name for it is "bacterial SSU rRNA". It matches the Rfam family "Bacterial small subunit ribosomal RNA", at positions 338 to 916 of the family's 1533-position model. The record is from RNAcentral.
CCUACGGGAGGCAGCAGUGGGGAAUAUUGGACAAUGGGGGGAACCCUGAUCCAGCCAUGCCGCGUGUGUGAAGAAGGCCUUAUGGUUGUAAAGCACUUUAAGCGAGGAGGAGGCUACUGAGACUAAUACUCUUGGAUAGUGGACGUUACUCGCAGAAUAAGCACCGGCUAACUCUGUGCCAGCAGCCGCGGUAAUACAGAGGGUGCGAGCGUUAAUCGGAUUUACUGGGCGUAAAGCGUGCGUAGGCGGCUUUUUAAGUCGGAUGUGAAAUCCCCGAGCUUAACUUGGGAAUUGCAUUCGAUACUGGGAAGCUAGAGUAUGGGAGAGGAUGGUAGAAUUCCAGGUGUAGCGGUGAAAUGCGUAGAGAUCUGGAGGAAUACCGAUGGCGAAGGCAGCCAUCUGGCCUAAUACUGACGCUGAGGUACGAAAGCAUGGGGAGCAAACAGGAUUAGAUACCCUGGUAGUCCAUGCCGUAAACGAUGUCUACUAGCCGUUGGGGCCUUUGAGGCUUUAGUGGCGCAGCUAACGCGAUAAGUAGACCGCCUGGGGAGUACGGUCGCAAGACUAAAACUCAAAGGAAUUGACGG